RNAcentral lists this ribosomal RNA (484 nucleotides) under uncultured bacterium. RNAcentral describes it as "partial 16S ribosomal RNA". It matches the Rfam family "Bacterial small subunit ribosomal RNA", at positions 30 to 507 of the family's 1533-position model. The record is from RNAcentral.
AUUGAACGCUGGCGGCGUGCCUAACACAUGCAAGUCGAGCGGACGAACGAAGCUUUCUCCUCGCUUCAGCGACCGACGGGUGAGUAAUUCCUAGGAAGCUACCUGGUAUUUGAGGAUAACAUCCGGUAGCGAGCCCUAAUACAGCACACGUCCUGAUGUAGAAACGCAUGGAUCUUCGGACCUCGCGCUAUUAGAUGUCCCUGCGCCGCAUUAGCUAGUUGGUAAGGUAACGGCCUACCAAGGCAACGAUGCGUAGCCGACCUGAGAGGGUGAUCGGCCACACUGGAACUGAGACACGGUCCAGACUCCUACGGGAGGCAGCAGUAGGGAAUCUUCCGCAAUGGGCGAAAGCCUGACGGAGCAACGCCGCGUGAGUGAUGAAGGUCUUCGGAUCGUAAAACUCUGUUAUUAGGGAAGAACAAAUGUGUAAGUAACUAUGCACGUCUUGACGGUACCUAAUCAGAAAGCCACGGCUAACUACGUG